RNAcentral lists this ribosomal RNA (246 nucleotides) under Sebacinales sp. Its description in RNAcentral is "partial large subunit ribosomal RNA". The record is from RNAcentral. Lineage: Eukaryota; Fungi; Basidiomycota; Agaricomycetes; Sebacinales.
AAACGCUUGAAGUCAGUCACGCCCUUCUGGAUUCAGCCUUGCUUCUGCUCGGUUUACUUCCAGGUUGGCGGGUCAACGUCAGUUUUGAUCGAGGGAGAAAGGUUUGGGGAACGUGGCAGCAUUCGUGCUGUGUUAUAGCCCCUUGUUGUAUAUCUCGACUGGGACUGAGGACCGCAGCGCGCCUUUAUGGCCGGGGUUCGCGCCCUCGGUACGCGCUUAGGAUACUGGCGUAAUGGCUUUAAGCGA